RNAcentral lists this ribosomal RNA (262 nucleotides) under uncultured bacterium. RNAcentral's name for it is "partial 16S ribosomal RNA". It matches the Rfam family "Bacterial small subunit ribosomal RNA", at positions 524 to 784 of the family's 1533-position model. The record is from RNAcentral.
UACGUAGGGUGCAAGCGUUAAUCGGAAUUACUGGGCGUAAAGCGUGCGCAGGCGGUUUUGUAAGUCAGAUGUGAAAUCCCCGGGCUUAACCUGGGAACUGCAUCUGUGACUGCAUCGCUGGAGUACGGUAGAGGGGGAUGGAAUUCCGCGUGUAGCAGUGAAAUGCGUAGAUAUGCGGAGGAACACCGAUGGCGAAGGCAAUCCCCUGGACCUGUACUGACGCUCAUGCACGAAAGCGUGGGGAGCAAACGAGGAUUACGAA